CCUCGAAUCAGGUGGGACUACCCGCUGAACUUAAGCAUAUCAAUAAGCGGAGGAAAAGAAACUAACAAGGAUUCCCCUAGUAACGGCGAGUGAAGCGGGAUGAGCUCAAAUUUAAAAUCUGAUAGUCUUUGGCUGUCCGAGUUGUAAUCUAGAGAGGUGUUUUCCGCGUUGGACCAUGUACAAGUUUCCUGGAACGGAACGUCAUAGAGGGUGAGAAUCCCGUCCUUGACAUGGACUACCAGUGCUUUGUGAUACACUCUCAACGAGUCGAGUUGUUUGGGAUUGCAGCUCAAAAUGGGAGGUAAAUUCCUUCUAAAGCUAAAUAUUGGCGAGAGACCGAUAGCGAACAAGUACCGUGAGGGAAAGAUGAAAAGCACUUUGGAAAGAGAGUUAAACAGUACGUGAAAUUGUUAAAAGGGAAACGAUUGAAGUCAGUCGCGUUUACUUGGACUCAGCCUUACCUCGGUUUGGUGCAUUCCUGAUGAACGGGCCAGCGUCAAUGUUGUCCGUUGGAAAAGGGUUGGAGAAAUGUGGCUCUUUCGGGAGUGUUAUAGUCUCUGAUCGUAUACUACGGCUGAUGUUGAGUGGUACAGCAUGCUUCGGCGGUGCUUGUGCUGGC
Molecule: ribosomal RNA, 619 nt
Filed under: uncultured Basidiomycota
Lineage: Eukaryota; Fungi; Basidiomycota
Description: LSU rRNA
Rfam family: Eukaryotic large subunit ribosomal RNA
Source: RNAcentral